Molecule: ribosomal RNA, 343 nt
Filed under: Caracollina lenticula
Lineage: Eukaryota; Metazoa; Mollusca; Gastropoda; Stylommatophora; Hygromiidae
Description: partial 16S ribosomal RNA
Rfam family: Bacterial large subunit ribosomal RNA
Source: RNAcentral
UAAAUGGCCGCAGUACCUUGACUGUGCAAAGGUAGCAUAAUCAAUUGGCUUGUAAUUGAAGUCUAGUAUGAAAGAAGUUACGGGUAGCUACUGUCUUAAAAGGAGUUAAGUAAAUUUAGUCAUAAAGUGCAAAUACUUUUAAAUAUAGAAAAGACGAGAAGACCCUAGAAACUUUAAAUUUUUGUUGGGGCGACAAAUCUACAGUGAAACUAGAUUUAAAAAACUUGAAACAAAAGGGGAAAGAUUAAGUUACUUUAGGGAUAACAGCAUAAUGAAAAAUCGUUUGGGACCUCGAUGUUGGACUAGGUUAGAUAGGGUAUAAAAAAACUAUUGUUUGCUCUGU